UAGUCCACGCCGUAAACGAUGGACACUAGUUGUUGGGAUUUAUCUCAGUGACUAAGCGAAAGUGAUAAGUGUCCCACCUGGGGAGUACGAUCGCAAGAUUGAAACUCAAAGGAAUUGACGGGGGCCCGCACAAGCGGUGGAGCAUGUGGUUUAAUUCGAUGAUACGCGAGGAACCUUACCAGGGCUUAAAUGUAGUCUGACAGCUUUAGAGAUAGAGUUUUCUUCGGACAGAUUACAAGGUGCUGCAUGGUUGUCGUCAGCUCGUGCCGUGAGGUGUCAGGUUAAGUCCUAUAACGAGCGCAACCCUUGUCGUUAGUUGCCAGUCAUGUAAAGAUGGGGACUCUAACGAGACUGCCGGUGCAAACCGGAGGAAGGUAAGGAUGACGUCAAGUCAGCAUGCCCCUUACGCUCUGGGCUACACACGUGCUACAAUGGUCGUGACAAAGAGUUGCUAGUCUGCGAAGGCAAGCCAAUCUCAUAAACGCGGCCUUAGUUCGGA
Molecule: ribosomal RNA, 499 nt
Filed under: uncultured bacterium
Lineage: Bacteria
Description: bacterial SSU rRNA
Rfam family: Bacterial small subunit ribosomal RNA
Source: RNAcentral